UGAGAGCUAAUACAUGAAACCCAAACU
This 27-nucleotide non-coding RNA is filed under the name Homo sapiens (human). The record is from RNAcentral. Lineage: Eukaryota; Metazoa; Chordata; Mammalia; Primates; Hominidae.